GUUCAGAUAGCUUAAUCCAAGAGCAUGACGUUGAAGGUGUUAAGGUGGUUGUAAGGACCUUUGGACA
Molecule: transfer RNA, 67 nt
Filed under: Sepioteuthis lessoniana
Lineage: Eukaryota; Metazoa; Mollusca; Cephalopoda; Myopsida; Loliginidae
Description: tRNA-Phe
Source: RNAcentral